Molecule: long non-coding RNA, 556 nt
Filed under: Nicotiana benthamiana
Lineage: Eukaryota; Viridiplantae; Streptophyta; Magnoliopsida; Solanales; Solanaceae
Description: long non-coding RNA (NBEN_LNC033072)
Source: RNAcentral
UCCAUUCAAUGCUUGAUAAUCCUUUCCUCUAUAAAUAGGCAUCAUAAGAGCUCACAUUCACCUACUCAAGCACUAUCUCUAGUAUUCAAAAGCUAAAUCUCUUCUAUUUUUCCAGCAGUCCUUCUCCUAACAUGUCUGGACGAUCUUCAAAACGUUCCCGAUCCAAACAUGGCGCAUCUGCCUCAACCGCCCCUCCUCCUUUAAAUUUUCCAUACCAAGACGGUUCCGUCUUGUUCUUUGAAAAUGAAAAUGAACUCANNNNNNNNNNNNNNCCAAGACGGUUCCGUCUUGUUCUUUGAAACUGAAAAUGAACUCACAAGGUUCCUAUCAAAAUUUGAGAAACGCACCAUUCUUCCUCCUCGGUUCUUAAAUAGUAAACUCCUUGAGCCUUUCACCCCUGCCGCAAAUAUGUUAAAGGAGUGCCAACUAUAUGACUUCUUACUUCUCACUCAUCCUCACAUAAACACAACUCUCGUUCAAGCUUUUUACUCAGACCUCCAUAAAAAUGAAGAUGGCGAACUUGUCACCUCCAUUAAUGGGGUUCAAAUUCUUCUCU